CCAUCCGCCAGCUCGCAGCCGACAUGCAGUCCCCGGCAGUGCUCGUCACCUCCAGGCAAGUUCAGAAUGUGCACACAGGCCUCGAUCUGACUGUCCCGCAGCACCAGGAGGUGCGGGGUAAGAUGAUGUCUGGCCAUGUGGAGUACCAGAUCCUGGUGGUGACCAGGCUGGCUGUGUUCAAGUCAGCCAAGCACCGACCCGAAGAUGUCGUCCAGUUCUUGAGCAUCUAGUGGCAGCAAAGCAUUGGAGCCAAGAGACACCUGGUUCUGAGGAUAACAUAAUAAGCCUCCAUGCUGGGAGCCAACAGAAACAACAGGGUAAGAGACAAGGAGAGAGGGCAACGCUUACAGUGUGCUGAAAGUCAAGCUCAGCACCACUGGCAAGGAGCAAGUCAGAGGCUGUGGUGAGCCUCUAGUGCUCACCCGCUGGGUGGACACGGGAAGCCCAACAUAGGAGUGGGCGAGAUCUGAAUCUUAAGUAGUUAGAUAUUAGCUGUAGGCCAUGUUAAGAGCUGGGGGUGGGUGAAACUACCCAGAGAGCAGAGGUGAAGGGCUGGGAAAAGAGCUGAGGAGAGGAAGUCCUGGAAAUACCAGCAAGGCCAACGAUAGCUGGGCCAACCAUCGUGGCAGAGGGGAAGGCCGAGUGACUGAAGGCAAGGAAGCUAAGGGAACAGAGAAUUUCAACUAAAAGGAAGGAUGGGUUCACACGUUUAUUUACCCUUUGGCCUCUUACGGAAGGAUCCAGACCUGAUGAGCAGGAAAGACGGGUCUUGGUAUCUUAGGACACGGUGAAAUGAACCAGAGUCCUUUAGUAGCAUGAGGGAGCAGCUGCUGCAGGUUGGUUUGGCACCUCCAGGUGGCCAUGACAAAAGAAACGGAUGAGUGUACAGCUCUGUGACGGUAAGGGACCAAAUUCUUUUUGUUGUUGUUGUUGUUUUGUUUUGUUUUGUUUUGUUUUGUUUUGUUUUGUUUUUCAAGACAGGGUUUCUCUGUGUAGCCCUGGCUGUCC
Long non-coding RNA from Grammomys surdaster, 1008 nucleotides. RefSeq lists it as uncharacterized. Lineage: Eukaryota; Metazoa; Chordata; Mammalia; Rodentia; Muridae. The record is from RefSeq and is a predicted model, not a curated record. The transcript has 3 exons.